RNAcentral lists this ribosomal RNA (2495 nucleotides) under Staphylococcus aureus. RNAcentral describes it as "partial 23S ribosomal RNA". It matches the Rfam family "Bacterial large subunit ribosomal RNA", at positions 424 to 2925 of the family's 2925-position model. The record is from RNAcentral. Lineage: Bacteria; Bacillati; Bacillota; Bacilli; Caryophanales; Staphylococcaceae.
ACGUGAAAUUCCGUCGGAAUCUGGGAGGACCAUCUCCUAAGGCUAAAUACUCUCUAGUGACCGAUAGUGAACCAGUACCGUGAGGGAAAGGUGAAAAGCACCCCGGAAGGGGAGUGAAAUAGAACCUGAAACCGUGUGCUUACAAGUAGUCAGAGCCCGUUAAUGGGUGAUGGCGUGCCUUUUGUAGAAUGAACCGGCGAGUUACGAUUUGAUGCAAGGUUAAGCAGUAAAUGUGGAGCCGUAGCGAAAGCGAGUCUGAAUAGGGCGUUUAGUAUUUGGUCGUAGACCCGAAACCAGGUGAUCUACCCUUGGUCAGGUUGAAGUUCAGGUAACACUGAAUGGAGGACCGAACCGACUUACGUUGAAAAGUGAGCGGAUGAACUGAGGGUAGCGGAGAAAUUCCAAUCGAACCUGGAAAUAGCUGGUUCUCUCCGAAAUAGCUUUAGGGCUAGCCUCAAGUGAUGAUUAUUGGAGGUAGAGCACUGUUUGGACGAGGGGCCCCUCUCGGGUUACCGAAUUCAGACAAACUCCGAAUGCCAAUUAAUUUAACUUGGGAGUCAGAACAUGGGUGAUAAGGUCCGUGUUCGAAAGGGAAACAGCCCAGACCACCAGCUAAGGUCCCAAAAUAUAUGUUAAGUGGAAAAGGAUGUGGCGUUGCCCAGACAACUAGGAUGUUGGCUUAGAAGCAGCCAUCAUUUAAAGAGUGCGUAAUAGCUCACUAGUCGAGUGACACUGCGCCGAAAAUGUACCGGGGCUAAACAUAUUACCGAAGCUGUGGAUUGUCCUUUGGACAAUGGUAGGAGAGCGUUCUAAGGGCGUUGAAGCAUGAUCGUAAGGACAUGUGGAGCGCUUAGAAGUGAGAAUGCCGGUGUGAGUAGCGAAAGACGGGUGAGAAUCCCGUCCACCGAUUGACUAAGGUUUCCAGAGGAAGGCUCGUCCGCUCUGGGUUAGUCGGGUCCUAAGCUGAGGCCGACAGGCGUAGGCGAUGGAUAACAGGUUGAUAUUCCUGUACCACCUAUAAUCGUUUUAAUCGAUGGGGGGACGCAGUAGGAUAGGCGAAGCGUGCGAUUGGAUUGCACGUCUAAGCAGUAAGGCUGAGUAUUAGGCAAAUCCGGUACUCGUUAAGGCUGAGCUGUGAUGGGGAGAAGACAUUGAGUCUUCGAGUCGUUGAUUUCACACUGCCGAGAAAAGCCUCUAGAUAGAAAAUAGGUGCCCGUACCGCAAACCGACACAGGUAGUCAAGAUGAGAAUUCUAAGGUGAGCGAGCGAACUCUCGUUAAGGAACUCGGCAAAAUGACCCCGUAACUCGGGAGAAGGGGUGCUCUUUAGGGUUAACGCCCAGAAGAGCCGCAGUGAAUAGGCCCAAGCGACUGUUUAUCAAAAACACAGGUCUCUGCUAAACCGUAAGGUGAUGUAUAGGGGCUGACGCCUGCCCGGUGCUGGAAGGUUAAGAGGAGUGGUUAGCUUCUGCGAAGCUACGAAUCGAAGCCCCAGUAAACGGCGGCCGUAACUAUAACGGUCCUAAGGUAGCGAAAUUCCUUGUCGGGUAAGUUCCGACCCGCACGAAAGGCGUAACGAUUUGGGCACUGUCUCAACGAGAGACUCGGUGAAAUCAUAGUACCUGUGAAGAUGCAGGUUACCCGCGACAGGACGGAAAGACCCCGUGGAGCUUUACUGUAGCCUGAUAUUGAAAUUCGGCACAGCUUGUACAGGAUAGGUAGGAGCCUUUGAAACGUGAGCGCUAGCUUACGUGGAGGCGCUGGUGGGAUACUACCCUAGCUGUGUUGGCUUUCUAACCCGCACCACUUAUCGUGGUGGGAGACAGUGUCAGGCGGGCAGUUUGACUGGGGCGGUCGCCUCCUAAAAGGUAACGGAGGCGCUCAAAGGUUCCCUCAGAAUGGUUGGAAAUCAUUCAUAGAGUGUAAAGGCAUAAGGGAGCUUGACUGCGAGACCUACAAGUCGAGCAGGGUCGAAAGACGGACUUAGUGAUCCGGUGGUUCCGCAUGGAAGGGCCAUCGCUCAACGGAUAAAAGCUACCCCGGGGAUAACAGGCUUAUCUCCCCCAAGAGUUCACAUCGACGGGGAGGUUUGGCACCUCGAUGUCGGCUCAUCGCAUCCUGGGGCUGUAGUCGGUCCCAAGGGUUGGGCUGUUCGCCCAUUAAAGCGGUACGCGAGCUGGGUUCAGAACGUCGUGAGACAGUUCGGUCCCUAUCCGUCGUGGGCGUAGGAAAUUUGAGAGGAGCUGUCCUUAGUACGAGAGGACCGGGAUGGACAUACCUCUGGUGUACCAGUUGUCGUGCCAACGGCAUAGCUGGGUAGCUAUGUGUGGACGGGAUAAGUGCUGAAAGCAUCUAAGCAUGAAGCCCCCCUCAAGAUGAGAUUUCCCAACUUCGGUUAUAAGAUCCCUCAAAGAUGAUGAGGUUAAUAGGUUCGAGGUGGAAGCAUGGUGACAUGUGGAGCUGACGAAUACUAAUCGAUCGAAGACUUAAUCAAAA